Molecule: ribosomal RNA, 485 nt
Filed under: uncultured bacterium
Lineage: Bacteria
Description: bacterial SSU rRNA
Rfam family: Bacterial small subunit ribosomal RNA
Source: RNAcentral
AGAGUUUGAUCCUGGCUCAGAUUGAACGCUGGCGGAAUGCUUUACACAUGCAAGUCGAGCGGCAGCGCGGGGGCAACCCUGGCGGCGAGCGGCGAACGGGUGAGUAAUACAUCGGAACGUAUCCUGGAGUGGGGGAUAGCUCGGCGAAAGCCGGAUUAAUACCGCAUAAGCUCUGAGGAGGAAAGCGGGGGACCGUAAGGCCUCGCGCUGCAGGAGCGGCCGAUGUCGGAUUAGCUAGUUGGUGAGGUAAAGGCUCACCAAGGCGACGAUCCGUAGCUGGUCUGAGAGGAUGAUCAGCCACACUGGGACUGAGACACGGCCCAGACUCCUACGGGAGGCAGCAGUGGGGAAUUUUGGACAAUGGGGGCAACCCUGAUCCAGCCAUUCCGCGUGAGUGAAGAAGGCCUUCGGGUUGUAAAGCUCUUUCGGACGGAACGAAACGGUUACGGUGAAUAUCCGUGACUAAUGACGUACCGUAAGAGAAG